AAUUACAUAUUCAUAAAUCAGACAUUUGACAAUCCGAUAGAAAUUGUCUCAUAAAGAGAAAAAGAACACAGACAAUAGGAAAUGAAAUGAGCAGAGAUAAUUCAUAAGAAUGUUUUAGAAAAGAAAUUAAGCUUCGGUGAAGCUUGGGGGCUUGUAGGCAAUGAAACUGAUGCAUUGGACUUGACGGGUGUUGUCGAAUCCGAUGAUCCUAAUGAAGGCGCCCGGGUACUCCUUCUUGCAUUCUUCAACUUCCUUCAACACUUGAGCGGAGUCGGUGCAUCCGAACAAUGGAAGCUUCCACAUUGUCCAGUACCGUCCAUCGUAGUAUCCGGGAGUGUUUCCGUGCUCACGGUACACAAAUCCGUGCUAUAAACACAUAAGAAAACCAUUCAAUACAAUUGAUAUUGGAGGAUAUGCACAAGGUGAUAUAGUCUAUUUCGGUUCUACAAAAUCCGGUUAUAGGCUAAUAUUUCUAGCAAUGAAAACGAAUAAAUAAUAAUGAUUAGUAGACAAAAGAAAACUUUUGUGUUUAUUACCUCUAACUCGAAUUCAACACAAGGAAUCCACUUGUUGCGGAGAAGGUAGUCAACUUCCUUAGCCAAUUCGACGUCACUAAGGUCAGGGAGGUAAGAUAGAGUCUCAAACUUCUUCUUUCCAAUUGGUGGCCACACCUAUAAUCCCCAAAUCCAAUUCCAAAUUAAUAUAUCCUAUGUUUUGUUUUAUUGCACAUGACAAAAGACAGUUUUUAUUGAUGAUAUUACCUUCAUGCAGCUAACUCUUCCCCCGUUGCUUGCGAUGGAAGUGAUGUCCUUGUUGGUCUUGCGGGUGACCGGGAAUGCAGCGGAUGACUUCAAGCCGGUGAAUGGAGCGACCAUGGUGGCCUGAGCCGGGGAUGUAACCACAGCGGCGGAGGAGAGCAUAGAGGAAGCCAUUACUACUUCUUGUUGUUUCUCUUCUUCUUUUGCUCGUUUACUUACUGACUUGUUUUCCUACUGGUGUUGUCAUCUUUAUAUAAUGAGAACCCCCUAAAGGCGAAAAGCCCUCAUGAUCAAAGGGUCCAUGAUUCAUGAUAACGUCGUUUACUGCCACAGGAUUAAGGAAAGGUGUUGACACCCUUAUCGGUACGCACCACUAGGAUAAGGCCACGUGGCAGAAAACUCCAUUAUCUUAUCUUUUCUCUUGUGGGGGAAAUGAAGUGAAUGUGCGGUUACUGGUCUCCACUUGAUCGGUUGCUUUUGGCUCCUUUCGUUUGGGAGAAAAGAAACCAGACGCAUUACCUUAAAUUUAAUGCUUUUGGUCUUUUGGACCUCUUAUUUACCAUGUAUGAUUUAAUUUGGCUUAACACUUUCUUUGGAAAUAAGGUCGCAUUAAAAAAUAGUUAUAACAAAAUUAUUUAAAUUUGAUAUUUACAUAAAUAUAUUGUAUGAUAUUUAUCCGGACAAAAAAAAAAGCUUUAACCAUCUCCAAUAUUUGUUUCUAUUAUUUUCUUUCUGAAUAUAGAGGAAAAAAUAUAAUAGAGAUUUAUAUUUUAACUUCAAUGGUUCCUCAAAAAUUCGUUAGAAAAAAUAAAUAAGAGAAAAAAUAAAAAUCUCUAUUUUUUGCUUUAGAAAAAAAAUUAGAAAUUUCUAUUUUACAAAUGAAAAUAGAGAUGAGUUAGAGUUAAAUAAAUACAAAAAUAGAGUAUAUAAAUAAAAAUAGAGAUAGAUUCGAGAUGCUCUUAAAAAUAUUCAUUACUCUUUCCGUUUUAUUAAUAUCAAUUGUUAAGAUUUUUCAGGCAGACUUAUAAAUAAGAUUCCAUUUCAGACUAAUGGAAGUAAACCUAUCAAAAGAAUUCUAACGUGCUGUAGAGAGACUCCUUCGUCAUCGUCCCUUUUGUGAAAGAGUAAAUUAAAGAAUCCAUAAUGAGCAUAGUGUAAGAAGAACCAUUUAUCUAUUAGAUAUAUUCUAGUACUGGUAGACUGUCGAUUCUGGAUACAUCCUGAAAAUCAUUUACCACAAUAAAUUGUCGAUAAUCUUUUUGUUGGAAAAGUUAUAUAUUAUCUUCAAAUGAUAAUAUAUUAGUCGACAAAAGAAAAGCGAGACAAAAUUUGAAUACAUUGAUUUCGGUUAAUUCAAUACUUUCACUUCAUUUUUAGCAAAUAGUACUUUUAUUUCUGAUUUUUAUGUGGCUAGGAUAAAAGCAAAACCUUACUGGUUGGAGAGAGUAAAUAUUUGAGUCGAUACUAACAACAACUACAUCAUGCAAGAUAUGUUUGUGGGACAAAGAGACCGAGCGAACAAACGAAACGGCAAAACCAUCAUCUACAUGUAUCAAGUGCGCGGUAAACCCCUCAUGGAAGAAUUUCCAAGAAAACCUCCCAAAGUCCAUGGUAUCUUCUAUAUGAGGUAAUGCACGCUGCCUCUAGAUCAACAAGUAAUAUCAGCUCACGAUUAUCUUGCGACUCUGAUCACAUCACAAUAACAAUGGGGAACCCACAUACGCAACCGUUCUCCUUGGAGUACCAUGCCAUUGCACUUACGGCCCCCUCAAGCACAAAUAUGGCACCUCAAGCUGAUUUCCACCAUGCAAACUUGAGUAUGUAAUCAAAGGUGUAGAACGGAGUCAAGAACUCAUCUUAAAGUCACAUAAAACUAUGGUCAUGCACUCAUGGAUCACGACUACUACCUUCAGGCUCACAAAUUAAUGCCCCCUUUUCAAUCAUAUAUAUGAGAAGAAACGUGUACAAAGUACACAUUAACUGGUCACGAAAAAACUUUCGUGUAGGGAAAAGGAUCACAAGGUCCACUCCACUCCGCACCUCAGCUAAAUAAAUCAUUUUUCGAAAGUGAGAUAGUCUUAACUCUUAAGUCUUAACCCAUCCAUCUAAGUUACUAGUUUCUGUCUUUUAUAAGUCAUUUUGUUUCUUUUUCUUGGAUUUUAAUUGAAGCCAAAAUGUGUGAAUUAAAUCCGGGAGAUGGAAAAAAUGUUCGAUAAUUUGAAUUAUUAUUUUUAUAUGUAUUUUGUAUUUGAAUCAUGAAUUUUUUAUAUUUCGUUUGCAUAGAAGAAUCCAAAAACAUAUGAUUUUUUGUCAAAACAAAAACUUAAAACCAAACAUAUAGUAGAUGCGACGUUUUCAUUAUCAUUUGGAAUCUAGUUUUAUUUAGAACUUUUUGGGAACGUUAACUACUUUUCCUUCUAAAUAACUGUUUCAGCUUUUAAUGCAUAACCAAUGAUCAAAUUUAACGUAAACAAAAUUUCCAAAAUUUAGUAACUUCAUGCUUGACAAAUUUCAGUCUUUGUCGAUCCUUGCUUUAUGUAAUGCUAUUUCUUGACUUAAUAUCCCACUUAGGGGUUUGGAAUACAUGUUUUAUGUUUAUAAUUUUAAAAGAUGCAUUUGAAUUUUCUGUAUAUACUACCUUUUCCAAAUCUCCAAUGGCUAUGUCAUCUGAAAAAUGGUUACACUCCCUUACAUAAACUUUUCUCUAAAUAUCGAGGUUUGAUUGAUUGCUUUCAUGUGCAAAAUUUCUUAAAACAAUGUAGCAAGUUUUUCUUUUUUUAUUAGAGUUUAUUGGUUAGUCUAGGGAGUCAAAAGCAAGAAUUAUGAGGAUAAUUUAAAGGAGCCACAAUGUUGUUUAAAGGAGCUAAACGAAAAAUAAGAUUUCAAAGAUUUAAGGGCAAAAAUGAAAUGAAAUGAUAACUAUAAUUAUAGAGAAACUGAUAGGAAUAACAUUUUCACUUUCAAACAAUAGUUCCUCAACUGUUAAGUCGGCAAAUAAUUUCUUAAAUUUGCAUUGACCACAUAGAAAUGGGUUCCAGAAUAAUCAACGCUGAAUAUUCCAGAAAGGGGAUUAAGCUUCGGUGAAGCUUGGGGGCUUGUAGGCAAUGAAACUGAUGCAUUGGACUUGACGGGUGUUGUCGAAUCCGAUGAUCCUAAUGAAGGCGCCAGGGUACUCCUUCUUGCAUUCUUCAACUUCCUUCAACACUUGAGCGGAGUCGGUGCAUCCGAACAAUGGAAGCUUCCACAUUGUCCAGUAUCGUCCAUCAUAGUAUCCGGGAGUGUUUCCGUGCUCACGGUACACAAAUCCGUGCUAUAUAUAAAGAAAACCAUUCAAUACAAUUGAUAUAUAUAUUGGUGAUAGUCUAUUUCGGUUAUCCACUUAAGUUUCUAGCAAUGAAGAAGAAGAAUAAAGGAUGCUUAGAGACAAAGGAAAAGUUCAGUGUAUAUUACCUCCAACUCGAAUUCAACACAAGGAAUCCACUUGUUGCGGAGAAGGUAGUCAACUUCCUUAGCCAAUUCAACGUCACUAAGGUCAGGGAGGUAAGAUAGAGUCUCAAACUUCUUCUUUCCGAUUGGUGGCCACACCUAUAAAUUCGAAUUCCCAAUUAUUCUAAAGUAUUGUUCAGUUGCACUAAUUGCACAUGACAAAAGACAGUUUUCAUUAAUGACAUUUACCUUCAUGCAGCUAACUCUUCCUCCGUUGCUUGUGAUGGAAGUAAUGUCGUUGUUGGCCUUGCGGGUGACCGGGAAAGAAGCGGAUGACUUCAAGCCGGUGAAUGGAGCGACCAUGGUGGCUUGAGCCGGGGAGGUAACCACAGCGGUGGAGGAGAACAUAGAGGAAGCCAUUACUUCUUCUUGUUGUUUCUCUUCUUCUUUUGGUUUUUCUCUUACUUACUUGUUUGUCUGUUGGUUUUGUCAUCUUUAUAUAGUGGGAACCGCUAGAGGCAACUAGCCCUAAUGAUCAAAGGGGCCAUAAUUCAUGAUAACGUCGUUAAUUGCCACAGGAUUAAGGAAAGGUGUUGACACCCUUAUCGAUUUGGACCACUAGGAUAAGAUCACGUGGCAGAAAACUCCAUAAUCUUAUCUUUCUCAUGUAAGGGUAGGAGUGAAUGUGUAUGGCUACUGGUCUCCACUUGAUCGGUUGCUUUUGGCUCCUUUCAAUUGGGAGGCGUCAAAUUGUAGAUAUCGGUUAAAUACUUUUUACAUAUAGAUUAAAAAAAUGAUUAAAUUUCUAUUACCUUAUAUUAACACAUUCAUAUUUUUAUUUUUCCACUUGAUAAUCUUAAAUAAUAAGAAUAUAAGUAUAAUCUUUGAAUUCAUCCCACAUUUUAAAAGUAUAAUUAAAUCAGACAGAGUUCAUUCAAAAUGGUUUUUAAUUGGGAAAUGUAAACUAGUAUUUUGUGUUAUUAUUUUCUAUGUAGUAUGUACGAUCACUAGAACUUUUAGUCACAUAAUGGAUAUUAAAUUAGAAAACAAUCCAAAUGCUUGUGAAUUUUCAGGUUUUACGGCUAAUUAAUAUAUUUCUGAUGAACAAGAGGAACCCACGGCACCGUUCCUUUUGGAGCACAACGCAAUUGCACUUACGGCCCACUUAAGCACGAAUGUGGCACCUCAAGAUAAUUCCCACCAUGACAACUUAAGCACAAAAGCCAUGACGGAUCAUGGGGAAAUUUUAUAACACACUUCAAUGGAUGGUGUGGAUCCGAGGGAAGAAUCCACACUCUAAGGCCACAUGAAGAAGCUCAUAUGGUCAUGGGUCCACGAAUACCACGUAAAAGCUCAUAUAUGCCCCGGUCCAACCAUAUGAGAAGAAGUAGCCAAACCCAUUCAAGAAACAUUGAUUACUUUUCAUUGUAAAUAAGUGUUUUAGCUUUGAAUGUAUCGUAAACUAUCUAAUUUAAUGUAAAACAGUUUCCAAAUUAUAAAUAUUCAUGCUUUGUUAUCUCCAUUAUAAAUUUCAUUAAUUCUUGCGUGUCCUUGCUUGCUAUGAUGUCAUCUCUAAAUUUUUGGACUUGCGGCUCUAGAAUUCAUGUUUAUGGAUUUAAAAUAUACAGUUGGAUUUUUCUAUGUCAUUUUAAAAAAGAAAAUUUUUAGAUUAGAUUUUAAAAAGAGAAAUAAACGUGUUUACAACUUAAUGCAUACUUUUUUGAAAAACAAAUCUAAAACAGAGGAUUUGGUCUUAAGCUUGUCUUGUACCAAACCAAACUUGAAGACCUCCUUCAUACUUCAAAGCUCCCCCCACUCCGUAUUGUGCUCAGCCGGUUCCAAACAUUUUUGUCAAUUAACUUGACAAGUUUCUCCAUUGGUGAUGGUUGUUCACCAUGCUUUCAAGCAUUUCUUUCUCCCCAAAUCGAAUGAACCGUGUUUUGGAAGACAUACCGUAGAAUGAAGAUUUUUGUUUUGUCAUAGUUUUUGUCACAAAUGGUUUUAAAGACUUCCCUCCAAUAUGUCGAGUACUUAUCAAGUAGUAUUCCCCUUAUCAGCUUCUCCCAUACCUUCUGCGAGUAAGAGCACCCAAAAAAAAGAUGGUGUCUUGUUUCCAUAGGUUCGUGACAGAACAUGCAGUUUGUGUUCACUUGUUGAUUCCAUUUAAACAUUCUGUCUCCCGUGGCAACUCUGUUUUUUGAAGCUAGCCAACUGAGAAAGGAGUAGUUAGGGUAAAGUAAAAGAAACAGAUCCCUUUGUAUCCGUCCAUCGUAGGCUUAGUGUUGCGAAUUUUUGAGCAUGUAUCUCUUGUGACAAACUUUUGACGGUAGUGAUCAUUUUUUCCUUUCCAAAGGGCUAUGUAACUUUCAUCUUCUCUGAGACGACAUCUCUAUUUUCUACGUAUUUUUACUACCUUUACUGGCUGUUUUUCAUCUUUAAAUUAAAAUGUUCUAAAUCAACCCUCAAAAUUUGAUUGAUGGACGCAUCUUUGCUAUGCUUUCAAGUGCGAAAUGUACCUAAAAAGGGUACUCUUUCAUUAGAGAACCAAAGGCAAGAAUUAGGAGAGAAAUUUAAAGGAACUAAAAUGUUAGUUAAAAGAGAUAAAACGAAUAAAAAGAGUUAAAAGUGAUAAGAGCAGAAAUGAAGUGAUAUGAAUAGAGAUUUUUAUAGAGGAAACGAUAGAAAAACAAACCUUCAGUUUUUUCACUUUGGCAAAAUAAUUACUUAAAUUUACAUUGACCAUACAAAAUUGGGUUCCGGAUAGUCAACAUUGAAUAUUCCAGAAAAGGAUUUAAGCAUCAGUGAAGCUUGGGGGCUUGUAGGCAAUGAAACUGAUGCAUUGGACUUGACGGGUGUUGUCGAAUCCGAUGAUCCUAAUGAAGGCGCCCGGGUACUCCUUCUUGCAUUCUUCAACUUCCUUCAACACUUGAGCGGAGUCGGUGCAUCCGAACAAUGGAAGCUUCCACAUUGUCCAGUACCGUCCAUCGUAGUAUCCGGGAGUGUUUCCGUGCUCACGGUACACAAAUCCGUGCUAUAAACACAUAAGAAAACCAUUCAAUACAAUUGAUAUUGGAGGAUAUGCACAAGGUGAUAUAGUCUAUUUCGGUUCUAAAAAAUCCGGUUAUAGGCUAAUAUUUCUAGCAAUGAAAACGAAAAAAAUAAUAAUGAUUAGUAGACAAAGGAAAAGUUUUGUGUAUAUUACCUCCAACUCGAAUUCAACACAAGGAAUCCAUUUGUUGCGGAGAAGGUAGUCAACUUCCUUAGCCAAUUCGACGUCAGUAAGGUCAGGGAGGUAAGAUAGAGUCUCAAACUUCUUCUUUCCGAUUGGUGGCCACACCUAUAAUUCCCAAUUCCCAAUUAUUCUUAAGUAUUGUUCAGUUGCACUAAUUGCACAUGACAAAAGACAGUUUUCAUUAAUGACAUUACCUUCAUGCAGCUAACUCUUCCCCCAUUGCUUGUGAUGGAAGUAAUGUCGUUGUUGGCCUUGCGGGUGACCGGGAAAGAAGCGGAUGACUUCAAACCAGUGAAUGGAGCGACCAUGGUGGCUUGAGCCGGGGAGGUAACCACAGCGGCAGAGGAGAGCAUAGAGGAAGCCAUUACUUCUUCUUCUUCUUCUUUUGCUUAAUUGUUUUUCUAUUGGUUUUGUCAUCUUUAUAUAGUGAGAACCGUAAGAGGCAAAAAGCCCUAAUGAUCAAAGGGUCCGGGAUUCAUGAUAACUCGUUCACUACCACAUGAUUAAGGAAAGGUGUUGACACCCUUAUCUUAUCUUUCUUUUGUGAGGAAAUGAGUGAUUGUGUAUGGUUUACUAGUCUCCACUUGAUCGGUUGCUUUGGCUCCUUCCUUUUGGAAGAAAAGAAAUCAGAUGCAUGACCGUAAAUAUAAUGUUUUGGACCUUUUAUUUAUCUUGUAUGUAUUUUUAAAAUUUGGUUUACAUUACUUCGGUUAAUAAAUACUAUAACAGGAAUAUCUAUAAACAGAGUCAUGACUCAUAAUGCAUUUCACAAUGUCAAAGCUGAACGUUGAGAUAAAUUUAUCAAUAGCACUAAAUAUUAAUCCGCGGUAUACCGCGGGUCUAUAUUUUCAUUAAAUAAAAAAUAAUUGAAUAUUUCUUAGGAUGACUUAAUAAAUUUCUGCUAUUGUUUGAUUUAAAUGUAUAAUUCACCGCGAGACAAAAUUUUAUAACUCAAAUUUUAAAGUUUUAAGUUGUAUUUGUUUAUUUUGUUAAAUGUUUAAUAUUGUAUAAUUGUAUUUUGAUUGUUGUUUCUCGGAUUUCACCCGUAGUACACCAUCCCAUAUUAAUAUCGAAUCAAACCCGUCAAUUCUAGGAUUUCACCUGUGGUAGUAUUUAAUUGUAUAAUAAUAACUUGAUUGUCAUUCUAGGAUUUCACUCCUAGUUCUAUCGCAAAUUAUUAUCAACUCAAACCAGUCAAUUCUAAAAUUUCACCCGUUGUACACCAUCCCAUAUUAAUAUCGAAUCAAGCCCGUCAAUUCUAGGAUUUCACCCGUGGUAGUAUUUAAUUGUAUAAUUAUAUUUUAAUUGUCAUUCUAGAAUUUUACUCCUAAUUCUAUCGCAAAUUAUUAUCAACCUAAACCAGUCAAUUCUAAAAUAUCACCCGUAGUACACCAUCCCAUAUUAAUAUCGAUUCAAACUCGUCAAUUCUAGGAUUUCACCCGUGGUAGUAUUGCGAGAGAAAUCUUAUAAAAGAAUCGAAAUGUGUUUUAAAAAAAUUAAAGUUUUAAGUAUUUUUUUUUAAUAUUGUUAAUUUUGUUUAGUGCUUAAUAUUAUAUAAUUAUAUUAUGAUUGUUAAUUAUAGGUUUUUUUCGUAGCAUAUCAUCCAAUGUUAUAAUUCACUCAAAGCCGUCACACCAUAUAACCCCGUCCCGUUAAAUUAAACACAAAUUUGUCAUUUUAUUAUAAAUUUCAAAUAUUUAUAAAAUUAGAAACUUCAAAAAAGAUUAAUAUUGACCCAAACUUCAUCAUUGAAUUUUGAGUGUUAUAUCUAAGAUUUCUCUCGCAGUAUAUCGUCCCGUAUUAAUAUCUUUUAUAUUGUUUAAAUUUCUUGUAAAAUUUGAUUUAUAAUUUUUUGAAACUUUUUAAAGUUUCAAUUCUUUAAAAUAAAUAACCCUAGUAAACAAACCAUUUUAAUUUUGGACACCUCAUAAAUCAAGUUUCAUGCUCAUUCGUAAUCGAAAUUAUUUUGGUCCUUUUUAUAGUAUGGCUCUGAACCAUUGUCCAAUUUUUUUAAGCGAUGUGGGACAUUGUACAAUCGUAAUUAUUAUCCACCCAAACCCGUCCUACCAUAUAACCCAGUCCCGUGAAAUUAAACAUAAUUUUGUCAUUUUCUUAUAAAUUUCAAUAUUAUAAAAUUUGAAACUUACAAAAAAUAAAAUAUCGACCUUGAUUAUAUUUAAGAUUUUUCCUGUAAUAUAUCGUCUUGUAUUAAUAUAUUUUAUAUAUAUAUUUAUAAUGUUUAAAUUUCUUGUAAAAUUCAAUUUAUAAUUUUUAAAACUUUAUCAGUUUUAAAAUUAUAAAUAUUUAAAGUAUUUUUUAAAGAUAAACUUUAUAAAAAGUUUUUAAAAUUAUAAUAUUUAACUUUUGAUAAAGUUAUAAUAUUUAUAAUUUCUUGAAACAUUUUAAAGUUUCAAUUCUUUAAAAUAAAAAACCCAAGUAAAUCGGAUAACUAUUUUAAUUUUGGACGACUGAUAAAUCAAGCUUCCUGCUCAUUCGUAAUCAGAAUCAUUUUGGUCCUUUUAUAAUAUGGGUCUGAAACAUUGUCCAAUUUUUCUAAGCGAUGUGAGACAUUGUAUACAUAUUAUUUCUUCAUACUUUGAAUAAUAUAUGUCCGUUUAAAAAAAUUUGAAUUACAUCAUAUGCAGAAAAAAAUAUAAUAUUUUAUUAACUAUAUAUAUUUUAUAUAAAUUCAAAAUAAAUAAAGUAUAAGAUCAAAUAAAAGUGAAAGAAGAAUUAUAUAUUUAUGUUUAAAUUAGGUAAAAAUAUUUUAGGAAAUUAGUUAAGGUAAAUAACAAAUAUGGUUCGUUUAGAGAUAUUGUUUAUAUUAAAUUUGGUAAUUAAAUCAUUAAUUUUUGUUUUUAAUUAUUAGUUUUUAGGUAACUUUUCCAAAAAUUAAUGUUAUCGAAGAUCAGAACAUAAUUAAACAUGUUAUCCAAGAUCCGAACAGAGUUAAACCGGGUUAUACCCACCCAUUUGAAUUAAUUGUUGAAUUAUGGCUCAAAUCUUCAAUAUUAUCUUCUAAAAACGUCUACAAAAAUGUAUAUAUAGAAGAUUACUCUUUUUAACUAAAUGCAAAAAAGGAAAACCGAUAAGAAUAAGAAAAAAAUAGCAAAAUUGAUAAAUGGAUUAGUCAAGAAAACCAUGUUUAAAUAUAGGAAAUACCAAAAAUGAAAGGAUAGCCAUGUGAUACGCUUGUAUAAAAAGAAAUUGUCCCUAUUGAUUACUUCAAAAAAAAAAAAAAAAAAUAAAUAAAUAAAUAAAUAAAGAGGCCAAUUCGACAAUAAAGGCAAUGCAUAGUCUCUCGUGGUUUCUCCUCGUCAUUGGAUUAUCCGUAGGGUUGAGUAGCGGAAAGUGGAAUGAGAAAAACUCUGUCAUCUUUACGAAUUCUCUUGGUCGGAACAAAGUCUUGAAAGUAAAUUGCAUAUCAAAUGAUGACAAUCUAGGCUUCCACUUUUUGCGCCAUGGACAAACCUACGAUUUUAGUUUCCACGAUAGUCUUUUCAAAUCAGAAUUCUAUUGUGACCUAUGGCAAGGCCCUAAUUUCAAGUUGCAUGCAGCAUUUACGGCAUAUGAAGGUGGUGGUUUGAUAGUUCAUUAUGGUAAAAAGAACUUUUGGGAUGUUAGAGAUGAUGGGAUCUAUUUCACCCAUGGCCAAAAAAUGCCCAAGUUAGAGUAUACGUGGAAGUAAUAAUUAAUCACUCAAAGGGAAAAGAUGGAAUUUAACUCAUCUUUUUGUUUUAAAGUUUGACAGAAACUUCAUUUUCUUGUGUAUUAUAGUGGACGUGAAACAUUGUAAUAAAUCAUCAAAUUAAGGCACCUUAAUAUGUAAAUGUAUCUUUAGUGUAUUAAAGAGAAACUUUAUAAGUAUGUGAGUUUUUCAAUACGCAAACAUAUCCAAGGCUUACGUCCUAACCAAAACUAAUAUUAAUUUGCACAUAUAUACAUGAUUAAUGAAUAAUGUAAGUAGACAGAGUGAGAGAUCACCCACCAGCUCUCCCUCUCCCCAAGUCAGCUUUCAUUUCAAAUCCUGAAAGGUAUCGUCGCUUGGUAGGGCGACUUAGCUACUUAAUUAGCUGACACCUGAGUUAGCCUAUUCAGUUCACAAAUUAGCACAGUUCAUGCAACAUCCACUUUAAGAACACUGGGAUGCUGUGAUAUGGGUGGUUCCGAUAUCUAAAAUCCAAUCCGCGCCAAGGCCUUUUGCUUCCCAGCUCAUCGACUUUGCAGCGUCAUGGUUGGUGUGAUAGUGAUUGGGCCGCCUGUCCUCUUACUAGACGCUCUCUCACAGGUUAUUUUGUACAACUUGGUGACACAAAAAUCUCAUGGAAAAUGAAGAAACAACUGACUAUCACUCGCUCUUCCGCAGAAGUCGAAUAUCGAGCCAUGACAUUUCUUACUCAAGAACUUAUUUGGCUUAAAAAGGUGAUGCAUGAUCUUGGUGUCUCUCAAGAUCGACCUAUGCGCAUAUUCUCUAACAAUAAGUCCGCUAUUGCUCUAAGUGCCAAUCCGGUUCAACAUAAACGUACAAAACAUAUUGAGGUGGAUGGUCACUAUAUCCAUGAUAUCCAUGCUGGUAUUAUGACUACUACCCAUGUGUCCUCUCAACAACAAUUAGCAGACAUUCUCACUAAGGCGUUGGGACAAAGAGAGAACUCCAUUUCUUUCUCUGCAAGCUGGGCAUUCUUGAUGUAUAUGCUCCAACUUGAGGGAGGGUGUUAAAUAUAUUUGCUACUUAUAUUCUUAUUAUUAGAGUGCAUCUUAGUCAAUAGCUACUAGUCAAGCUUAGUCAACUCUACUUUGCCCCUUUUGGUUUUUCCAUGGUAACCACAUUAUGUACUUUAGGUUAUAUCAUCUUUUUGUAUAAUUAUGGCUUUUAACGCCUAAUCAAGAUAACACAAAUUAAAACCAAUCUCUGUCUCUUGCCUUAAAUCUGACACUCUUUUGGAUAAGUUUCUUUUAAAAGCGUUUAAGAAAAAUUUCAACAUUGCUAAUUAUGAGAUAUAUGUCAACAAACUCAAGGCAUUGUUUUAUAAGAAUACUAGAUAUUUCGCCAAACCACUCAUGCUAUAAUGGGAGUGAAAGUCUUAAAUUGGAAUAUUAAGAAUAAGAUCUUUUAUCAUGACUCGUAAUUCAUAUCACAAAUGUCAAAGCUGAACGUUUCAAUAAAUCUAUCGAAAGCAUUAAUCCUUUAAAUAGAUGUGAAACAGCGAAAUAGAUAAGGGCACAAAGAAAACAGUAAAAGCGAUCAACAAGUUCGUAUGAGUCAAAACUCAAAAAAAAAAACAUGUUUAAAAAUAGGAAAGACCAAAAACUAACGACUAACCAUGUAAUACACUUGUAUAAAAAGACACUAUCCGUCUGUCCCUUUUCAUUAUCUACAGAUUAAUUACUUCUGAAUUUAAAAGAAGGAAGGCCAAUUCAAACAGUCAACAAUGAAUCGGCUCUCGUGUUUUCUGCUCGUUAUUGGAUUGUGCAUAGGAUUGAGUAACGCAAAUUUAAUAUGGAAUGAGAAAAACACUGUAUUCUUCAAGAGUUCCCUUGGUCGAAACAAUGUUUUGAAGAUUCAUUGCACAUCAGAAGACAAUCUAGGUUUCCAUUUUUUGCGUCCUGGAGAAACCUAUGAUUUUAGUUUCCAUGAUAGUAUUGUGAGAUCAGACUUUUACUGUGAAUUAUGGCAAGGGCCUAAUUUCAAGUUUCAUGCAUCAUUUAUGGCAUAUCAAGGUGGUGGUCUCAUAGUUCAUUAUGGUAAAAAGAACUUUUGGGAUGCUAGAGAAGAUGGAAUCUAUUUCACUCAUGGCAAAGAAACGCCCAAGUUAGAGUAUAAGUGGAAAUAAUAAUUAACCACUCAAUGUAUGAUGGAAUUGAGAUCAUCUUUUUUUACUUUUAACAAAAGCUUAUUGUUCUUGUGUACUAUUGUGGAAGGGAAACCUUUGAAAUAAAUUUAUCGAAAGUAUGUGAACUUUUGAAGACGAAAACUUUCAAUACUUAAGUCCUCAUCUAAACUAAUAUUUGUAGUUAAAUGAUUAAUGAAUAAUUAAUGUGAGAAAAUCCCUAAAAGAAUGGUGGAAAAAAAGGAAGAUGUGUCAAAUGAUUUUUGACUCAAAUUAGUUAAUCGGUAAACUAAAUACCUGAGUUAUGUAUGCUUUGGCAAAACACACUUAAUUGGGCUCACUAAUUGAAUUUACAGAUUAAGAUUUCGUCAAAGCCCAACAAAUAACGAUAUCCUAAUAUUUUUGUAGUAUAUGCAGCCCAUCACUUUAAAAAUUCCCGAACCAGAAUGCUACAUCAAAAUUAUAGCAUUCACAACAUGUUUCUUUUUGUCCAAGUGAGUUUGGAUGUAGAAAUUUGGAUACAAAACAAGUUGCAUAUUAUGAUGCAAUCGAAACUAGAGUUUAAAUGCAUCAAUUCCAUCUAUAACUAAUUAACGUAAACGACUAAAAAUCAACUAAUAUUGUCUAUGUCGACCCAAGUUAAUUCGGGUCCGCUUUUGCGAUACUUCCAGGGAUUUGUUCUAUUUUACCUUGCUUGUAGGACAUGUUCUAUGUUCUAAGCUUUUACAAUUCAGGUUGUAAGUGAAGCGUAUUUUUGUUUCAUUGCUUGUAAAUGAAACAACACAUAGUUUGUUAACGGAGUUGAUGGUUUCUAACCGCUAUAUCUCGUAGAAAAACUCUUGCUCCCAAGCUUCACUAUAUAAGGAAGAGGUUGCACACAUGACAUCACUACUAACUUUCGAUGUUGUCUUUUAAUUUUACGUUCACUCCAGAAACACAAGGAUAAAAACAACACACACACACACAAACAAAACAAAACAAAACAAAACUUGCUUGGAAAAUCUUAGUUUUUCACUUUCUCUAAAACUCUUUUUUCUUUUUUCGUCUUGUAUCACUUAUUACAUUUAUAUCUGAGCCUUUGUUAUGUAUAUAUAGCUGUAUGCAUUUGGGGCAAAGCCCUUCCGAGAACAUGUCUCCCUUCUAUGUCAAACUUCGUCUUGUGACUCUUGACCAUGAAAGCCCAUUUUUUGGGUGUGUUAGAGCAUCUCCAACAAGCCUUCUAACCUUCAAUUUAUUUUGAACCCUCUAACCCUUAUAUUUUUAGGAUGUAAAUAGUGCACCUCGAAUUUUAUGGUGCAUUUUUUACACCCUCAGGCCUCAACAACCAAAACUGAUUAUUGUUAAUAUUGCACAUAACAAGAGAACGGAAAAAUACCUUGGUAGUUUCAUAUCUGUAACAUAGUCAGACGUAUCAUUAGUUUAUUUAAAACAGUUGUACCACGAUUGUCUACGAAUACAGAAAAGGAAAAAAAAAACGAAUAUGAAAUUUUUUCCAAGGAAAAAUAACUAGUACUACGAUUUAAUGUACAAAGAUAUAACUUAAAAACCUCUGUCAAAAAUAUCAUAUAAUAAAUAUUUCUUAUAUUAAAUAUAGGAAACACAAUUCAAUAUGUAUAAGAAAAACAAUAGUAUUUUCACAUUUCCACCAAAUCUUCUAUGAUUUCAAAGAUUUUUAAUCUUUUGAUAGUGGAAGGAUCUUUGUUUAUAAUCGUCAAAGAAGAUACAGUAUCACAAUUAGAUUUAGAUACACAUGCGUGUGCAUGUAUUUUCUAAAAACAAGAAAAAUUAUACUCUCAUAUAAUAUGCAUUCUCACUUACGAAUAACUAAUUUGCAUAGGGUGUUGAUUGCGAUACUGAAUUGAUCAAAAGAUUAUUUCUUUGCUAUGUUCUUUAUUGGGGCGUAUCUAAAAUUAUGACGAUAUGUUUUUGACUUGUCAAUUCAGAAGAUUGUACCACUGAAUUAUUCUAUACAUAUUAUAAAAAUUAUACAUUUCAAAUAUGUUUUUUUCCACAUUUUGUACGAUUUUCAGACUUGAACUUUCAGAAGAAAAAAAAAACAUUUGCCUUUAAAAAUACAAACUAUAUUCAAAAUCUAAUUGAAAACAAAGAAUGACAGAAGACAACACAAAUGCGCAAAAAAAAAUAAAAAAAUCAUGAUCGUACAUAUGAAAGAGUUUCUUUUAAAUUUAUCAAAAAAAAAAAAUCGUGAAGGAUUUUCUUUUAAAACUUUUUUUAACUUUCUGCAAUGUGGUAUUUUUAUACAUAUGCCACAUAACACAAAUGUUUUUUUUUCUUUUCCAUUUAAUCCGACUAAGACCUAAUAAUUAAAAGAUAUACCUAUCAUAAGUUACCAGUUUUAUUUAUUUCUGAUCAAUUUCAAAGGUUACUGACCACAUAUCAAAAAAUAUUAUAAGAUAUAAAGAAGCAAGAAUCAACCUUAGUCAUUGUAAGUGCAAAGGCUGCCACCAAACUUAACCAAGAAAAAUUAAAUAUGAACUCCUUUUCCCCCAUCACUAAUCAUUCUUUUUGUUUCUUUGAUUAUUAAAUUUCAUGUUUUAUGUUUGUUUAUUAUUUUAAGGCUUAUCUAGAUUGAACCCAUCUUAAUAUUACAUUAUGACUUAUUAUUAUUGAAUUUCAACUCACUUUCUAAGCCAAUAAAGGUGAUCGAUGGACAUAUGCUUUUGGCCUUAUGCCAGAGAGUUAUUGAUUUAUACCAGUUGCAGUCUCAAAGCACAUAAUAUGACCUUACACAUAGACAACAGUCACAACUUUUCAUAUCUUUGUGUCUUUAAAUUAGAACUAAGAAGAUUUAUUUAUAUAUGUACAACUAGUCUUUUUUGAAUAAACUAAAACAAAAGCUUUAAUUUGGCCUAAAGAAAACACAAUCAUUUGGAAGAUGUGGUAAUUAUAUAAUACAUUUAUUCGAAAUCUCCUUCUCAGCCUUCUUACUUCGAAUAACAUAUCUACUAUAUUUUUGGCAUAUCAAUAGUUUUUUUGGAGUUUUAAAAGUAUGUGUAUAAAAGAAGUUUAAGAAUAACAAUUCAAAGAUAUAUGUCAUCCAUAAACAUAUUUCUUCUACUACCAUAGAUCAUAUUAAAUUCAUUUACUACACAAGUUUAUGUUUCAAAUACUAUAUUUUAAAACAUGUUACAUAAACCAAUCAUGCGGGUUUUUGAGUUUGUUCUCGUCACACUUUACACAAAACAAUAGAAAAUGUCUUUUUGAGGAAAAAGAAUUAACAUAAUUUGAUGUCAUAGUAACAUUUAUUCCGAUUUGUAUCCCUCAUGAAAUUCAAAAUCUCCCUCAAUCUCAAAAUCUUCCUUCUAGCCGUGCUUUACCAAGGCAUUCCAAAUCAAACUAUUUAAACCGCGAAAAUCCUCAUGAAACCAAUGGCUUCAAUAUCACUUGAACUCCAUACUUAGGUUUUAUAGUAAGCACAACGAUUGGGGCAUGCCUAUAAUUCUUUGAUAUUGUGAAGUUAAACUUUGAAAUUAACGUGGCUAAUAUUAUUUUAGCUUCCAUCAACGCAAACUGUUGUCCGAUGCAGUUCCGUGGACCGGCUGCAAAUGGGAUGAAAUGGCGACCAGACGCGAAUGGUCUGCCUCCAAAACGUUCGGGAUUGAAUUGGUUCGCGUCUUUACCCCAUAAUUCUUCACUGUGAUGGAUAGCAAGAACCGGUAUCCAUAUUGAUAAACCUUUAGGAAUGGUUAGAUCACCUAGUUUUAGAUCUUCAAAUGCCAUCCUUGGUAGAAGAGUAGCUGGAGGGUAAAGUCUUAGUGACUCGUUAAUCACUUUGCUUAACUGUUCCAAAGACAAAGAAAAAGAAGUUAGAAGACUAUUCUAUUAAUUCAUUUUGGAAUCAUAUCUUUGUGAUCAUGCGAAGUGCUUCUUGACUCUUUCUCAAACAUCUUUUAGUUUGGGAAUUGACUUUUCCUUUUGAAAAAAAUAUCAAUGAAGCUGUCAAGAUCUAAUCAUUAGUUAAUACAUGUUUAGAUUUCUUAGAUAAUAUUUUAUGCAAAGCAUGCCUUAGUGCUAAUCACUAAACAAAUGGAAGAUGUCUUAUUUAACCAUUUAUUUAUGCCUGAAAGAUCUAUUUACCAAUAUCUAUAUCGUAUCAAAUUUCAAACCUGGCUUAACCAAUGCUAAUCAUAUCUAAAUAGUAUCACUAUAAAACUAAUCAGAAAGUAUGAUUCUAUGUAAAUCGGUUAUAAUAAACAUGUAACGAUUUAACCCAAUAUGAAUAUAUCUUUAAAGCUCAAUAAACAUACACAUUGUUAAAAAACAAUAUUUGUGUUCUAACUAGGAUUGAAGAUAAAGGAAUAAAGACAAAAUUAAAUGAUAUCUACUCAUUAGGGUUCUUCUGUGCCGACUAUGACUAUGUUAUAAGCUUAGUUAUGGAAGAAGCACUACGAUGCUAGUGGCAUUGUCUAUACUGUGUUAAAUGUUAAUACCCCACACGCACCCAUCCAUCCAUCAUAAAGCUAAUUCUACUAGUCAAAUAAAUUAAUAGGUUACUAUAAUAUAUAGUUAUAUGAUUAUUAUUUGGAGCAAACAACAAAUAUUAUCUUUUUAUAUCUAUGAGUUAAUGGAGUUCGAGUCACUGAUGCGUGGUCAGACAAAAACUUAAGGUUGAAAAGUUGAAACGGUCACUGAUGGAUUAGUACUAAACCGUAUUUUCAUGAUUUUUUAACAACACCAAACUCAUGAAUGGUGAGCCGACGUAACCGCAAGUAGACUAAUAUGUCUCGUCUGCUAGCUAUUUACGUUCCAAACUUAGGUAAAACUUAAUUCCUAUGUUAACAAUCUCACCAAAAGAUAAGACUUUGCAAGAGAAGGACUAAUUUUAUGUCUAGAUUUUAGAAGUUAUUGUAUAAUAUGUAUUGAAAAGUGAAUGUACGUACCGAGGUUAGCUUAGAUAGUUGAUCGACUGAGGGAAGGCCAUUGCGGCCAAAGACCUCCCUGACCUCCUCACGGACUUUUUCCUGCCAUGUGGGAUUAUCGGCGAGGAGCAUUGUUGUCCAUGUGAGGAGCAAAGCCGUGGUUUCAUGGCCAGCAAAGAAGAAUGUCUUGCAUUCAUCCAUUAUCAACUGAAGAUUGUUGUUGUUAUUGUUAUUGUUCUUGUCAAUAUCCAUUUCGUUCAAGAGAAGCCCGAGAAGGUCGUCACCGUGAGUGCUACUCCUACCCAUUUCAGCGCAGUCUCGCCUGCUUUGUAUGAUCUCAAUCAACAAACGCUCAACUUCUUUUUUCAGAGACUUGAUCUCUCUGUUGUAUUUGCUUGGAAGAAACCUACAUAUACAAAAGAUUUGUUAUUAAGUCAAUGUUAGACCACAGUUAAAGUUUAAUCCUAAAACAAUAUACGUUUUAAAGCUUCACCGAGGAUCACAACAAAUAAAUAGAAAAACUAAAUUUUGUUAUGUAUAACUUAAUGUUUAAGAAUUUGUAUGGUGGCAGCCGCGGUCUGUCUGCUGCCACCAUUACUGAAAAUAUAGAGAUUAAUUACGAUUUCUAGGGUGAGGAAGAAAACCAACCGGCUGCCGGGAAAGCAGAGGUGGCGGGUGGCUUGAGCGCAACGGCGCUGGAGGACAGUGAGGUGGUUGAAAAGCUCUUUGCCUUUCUCAAAGCUGCUUCCGAACUUUGUCCUCGAUAUAAUAUCAGCCGUGAGUUUAUGCAUCUCCUCUCCUAUCUCCACCUCAUUUGCUCCUUCCCCAACUUCCUUCCUCAACCUCUCAACUAGCUUGCUUGUGCACUCCACCAUAUGCCUUGCGUAUCCCUACAUCAUAAGGGUACUUCAGUCAUUCAACGUCAAGUAACUAAGCAUUGUUUUUUGCAUGAGGCUAGUUUAUUGACGUGCCUUGAGUCUUUCUCCGGUAAAUGCCGGUGCAGCAAGGUGGCGUUGGUGGUGCCAAUCUUGGCCAUUAGCCAUUAGGAGACCGCGACCGAUAAAAUUCUUAGUCCCUUGUUGUUGUAGCCACGAUCUUCCACUAACACCGUUGUGUUUCAUCAGCAACUCCUUUAUCAAUUCCGUUUCCGUUAAGCAAAGCCGAGGAUCCGUCCCGUUCCACACAAUAAACCUCUUCCCUGUUUCAUCAAAACGUAAAUUUAUCUAAGGAUUACUCAUUUUAUUACAUGUAACCCUCCUUUAAUCAAAGGCCAAACAUUCUUCAGUAUGUUUUACGGAGAAAAAACAAAAAAUACAUGGAGGGUAUUUCCGUCAUUUUAUCUGGCUCCAUUGAUAGAUGUCACUUACAAUUAACAGACCAACUUAAUAACGAAAUCUAUGUAUAGACUUCACGACCAAGAAAACACAAACUUGUUACAAUUCAAGACCAUACCGUAUUGUUUGGACCAAGCAACGUAAUGCGGGAGAAGGCGGCCGACGAUGUCAUGGUGAAUAGAGUCACAAUCCUUGGAAGCGGAUUGCGAAACCAUGGCCGAGAUUUCAAGGAUAUUUCCGGUUAACGGACGCGGUUUAGGACCCGUUACGCCUUGCUGUUCCAUGAUCUUCUUGAUUCGUCUAGGUGUUAGCCAGUAGCACGAUAUGGUGUCGUAUAAAACUCUCAAUAUCGUAGUCACGAAUAUCACGAGGAGUGAUUUUAAUAUAGUAAGCAACAUUUUUGGGUUUUUUCUUUUCUUCUUCCAGCAACAAAGAUUCGAAAAGAAAAACAAGAGAUAUUAAGAGGGUGAGAUAAAGAGUAAUGGUGUAUUUAUAGUGUCGAGAUACAAUAUAAAUUCAUGUAGGGUACUAAAUCUGGGAGAACUAAUUAUGGUAUAACUUUGUUGCAUAUUCUCACUUAAAGAAAUGGAAGAUAUUGAGACUAAUUAAAUUAGUAAAUCUCGUUAUUUUUUACCUUGCUUGGCUAAACGUUUCCAUUUAAUUCUUAUACUUUUAAGAGAGACACUCCAAAUUAUUAUUACAGAAACAAGUUGUGACAUUUCACAAAUGCCAACUUUGGGAAGUUUCCAGAACUACAAAAAAAAAAACAUUUAUGUUCACGAAGGGUUCCUAAAAGUUUAAGAAAUAAAGUAUCCCUAAAUUUUUAAGAACUCUUCUUAAAUUAUAAGAAAUGUUUCAAUCAUUUAGUAUUACUUCCUGAAUUUUUAAAACAUUUUAUAAGAUUAAAAUUUGUGGCCUUUUCUUAGAAAAUGUUGUAUACCAAAUAUGAUUAAAAAAAAAAAAAAAAAAACUCAUUUCCUGAGAAUCAAAAGAGAACAUCUCAGCUCAAUUAUGAUCGAAUCUUGACCAUAAUUAUGUACUAAAACUUAUAUAGCGUAUUACUGAGAGGGUCGAGAGAGAAAAGGACUUGAAAAUAAAAUUAAGUCUCCUGAAACAGUAAGAACUACCAAGAAUUGUUCUCGUAUUUGUCCCAGUCCCAGUCCCAGUCCCACACAAAGCUGGAUCACAUAAACCAUUCAAAAUCACUGCUUAGGUAUAAGUGUUUGAUUUCUCUUUUAAUUCGCCUAUGAUCCAAUCUUAACCAUAAUUAAUCUAUGAGAUGUAAAGUUUCAAGAAUUUGUUUCUAAAGACAACACAAAAAAAAAAGGUCGUGUUAAAUACAAUGUGCUUGAUAUAUAAAAAGUUCGAUCCUGGCCGUCUCAUUAAGGGGACAACAUAUUAAUCUGAUAGCUAUGACCUGUGUCGCUGUAACAUUCGGGACAUGAUUGCACAACACAAAAUUUCAUUAAAACCUUACGUUUCCUUUCAUAAAGGUAAAAUCUCUACCCCAAUUUUUGAAACCACCCCAAAUUUUGAAACCUACGUCAUCAACAAUUUAUACGCAUUGGAAUAUAGACCAACAUUUAGUAAAACCUGGACCAAAUACAACAAGUCUGAUGUUAAACCACCGUUUCUGUCUAGCUCGAUUCUACUGUGAUGAUCGGAGUUGGUUCGGUAAAGACCCUAAGCUACAUUAAAUCUAUAGGCAAAAAGACAGAGAAAACAAAAAUGGAACCGAGUUAAACAACCUUGCUCUUCAGAUUUGCUUCUUUUCUUUAUCAGAGGAUCCGAAAUGACUUGACAAAGUCCACUGCGUAUAGUUGGUGUAAAAGGCAAACAUUAUAAAGUAUGAGAAACAGAGAAUCAUGAUCAGUGCUUCGAAUAGGAAAGGGUACUUCUGAGGAGGUUUAAUGGUAAGAUAGAGGACAUGAAGAACUACGGAGAUGAAGAAAUGGGUUCGUAGUAAGAAAACAUAACCCGGGAAGUUUUUAAAGGAGAAAAAUGAAACGUCGGUUUUCUGUAUCGCAUGGUGAUUCCCGGGUGAAUGAUAGAUGACGGUGAAGAGAAAAGAUAGUGUUAAGUAAGGGAUCAAGAGUUUGUCACGGCAAAGAAGAGGGAACAUCGAGAAGAGAGCGUAAUAGGUUAAAUGACUGAAAUGGUCAGGUAGUUUGAGAGCUAAUAGUGUUGCGGAGAGAAAAGGCAUCAGGAUUGAUUUCUCAUGCACUGCAGAUUCAAACACAAUGAAAGAAAAAAAGGGACUGUUAGAUAUUAAUUGAUGGCAACCGUGAUCGAAGAUCAAAGUGAAAUAUUUAUACCUUGGAAGGAAAACAAGUAGAAAGCCAUUGAACUGUUGAGCAAGCCAUAUAGGAAACCUUCAUUGCUUGGUGACAAGAUUUGCUGAACCAUUGAAGGAAGAGAAGCCAAUAUAGUUGCAGCUAAGCUGAUAGACUUGAGGGAUUGUGUUGUGAACAGAUUUUUCCAUUUUAUGAGUAUGGAAGUAGUGCACCAGAAAUUUGCCACGUAAUCCUCGUAUAUUCCCCUCUCAAAUGGAGCAAGACGGGAGAGAACCUGCAUCAUCAGCCAUUUACUUCAUAUUAAUGAGCACGAAAACGAAUGAGACCUAUUGGGUGUAUGCAAUUUACAUCAGAGGAGGAAGCAAAGAGUACAAUCUCUUAGUUCUACCAGAGACAAACAAUUAGUUUUCUCGAGAAAUUAUCAAAUACGUAUUUACCAUUAAGAAGUCGUCCAAAGAAUGCACAUAUGGCCACCAAAAAAUAACAAAUGUCACUAUGACUGCAAUUCCAAGCUUAAUCACAGAAAGUAUAGGGCUCUUCCGUCUUAGGCAUUUACCCAGUAGAUGGCUGAAAAAGGCAGGAGCAAAGUAUGCACUCAUCUGCAACAUCGACACAAUGGAAAAAGUGUGACCAGCAUGUUAUAAACGGGAACAGAACAGAAAUGAGGUACAUACAUAAACAAAGGGGUAUAUCAAGCACCACAUAAGAUUAACAAUAUUGUAUGUAUAGAACAUUUUACAUAAAUGCAACGAUGUGAAAUAUGUAUGGCCAUAAACACUACACUACAGUCUCAACAAAUUAGACAUUUUGACAUAACGGUAGUAACUACUCAUAUUUUCCAGGGAACUAAAACCAUCUAGUUUUUCAGUCUAUGAGAUUGAUAAAAGCCAUUACGUGUCAGAUCAUCUACAAGUAUACCAACUUUCUACAAGGGAAACAUAAGAAUACAGAAAUGAAAUCCCAAAGUCACCUGUUUAUGGCUGAGGGCUAGACUGAACAAGACACAAGUGAGAACCUCGCUCUCACAUAGUACCGCAGCAAUAGCACCAACUGUAAGUCCCAAGCUGAUACAAUUGUACUAUAACAAAUAAAAAUUCUAAUGAGAAUCAUCUUACAACCAUAGAAAAAGGAUACAUAAUCACAACACCAAUAGAGGUAACGGUCAAUACAAACCUGAAAAUGACCGUGAUCAAUGAGGAUCAAGCAAGGGUUUAAGAGAAUCAUAGCAAUAUGCCAAGCCACUUCACUCUUACCACCCCUAGUUCGAUUCCUAUGGUACACCAACACGAAAAACAGAGCAGCUGGGAAAAAUAUGAAAGCAUCAGACGAUAAAACUGUCCAUCUCAUCAACAAUUUUCUGCAUAACAAAACUCGAAUUAGUAAACCCUAAUUACACAACAAGCAACCAAUUGAAGAAUCAGAUCAUUUACCCAAGAUAAGAUUCGUGACCACGAGAGCUUAGAAGAGCAACAGAUUCAGGAUUGAAGAAUCGGAGGAAGAUUCCAUGGAUGUAACUUUGAUAAGCAGUUAAAGGAGGAUAAUCUAAUCCCCAGUAAGUGAGAUCGUUGUAAGUGCCAUUUCUAUACCAAUCGAUAACUGGAAGAUUUGUGGUUAUCUCCAUCCAAUGUCUCUGAGCUUCGAAAUCGCCGAAUUUAGGAGGAAUUCCGGCGCCGGAGUAUGGAUACAUUGUUACAGCAGAUCGGAUCAGUAAUGCGAAGAGGGAGAUGCAGAGAAAUGAAGUUGUGGUUCCUUUAUGUGUUAGCCACCACCAAGUAUCAAUCGAAGAUCCGGUUUGUGGUGAUACCGGAAUGGUGAUGUCAUCUUCGCCGGAAUGUUUCGCCGGCUUCUUCUUCGGCAUCCUUUGUUUUGUUUGUCUUCUCCGUUUAGUUUUUUUCUCACCUAAGCUAAGCUGAUGCAAAAUCGAUUUACGGGGAUCGGUCUCAGUUUGGGUUUAGGAAAUAUUAAUAAAAGGCCCUUGUAUUUUUAUGUUUCUAUAAAUUUAUCCUUGAAAAAUACAAAAACACCAUUCGACUCACUUUUUAUUUUAUGUUAACAACUUGGCUAAAGACACAUCACUAACACCAUUCGACUCACUAAAACUAUGAAAUAUAACUUUCACAUUAUAGGUUAUAGACUCGUUUUGAAUAUUUUUAAAAAGACUAUAUGAAUAUUUUUAAAAAGACUAUAAUACAAUAUAUAUUAAAUUUUUGAGAUGAAAAUAGUAAAGAUGGUUGGUUUGAGAUGAAAAUAAUAAGGAUGGUUGCUAUGAGAAAAUGUUAUUCUUCAAAGGGAAAUAUUUUUUCUUAAAACAGGGAUUAGCGAUUCGCAUCCUCUUCUGUCUUUCUUAGUACGUUUGUGUUAUAGCUUCAUUUCGAAUGACUGGAUUGUCCGAAUUACUCAUGUGUAUAGGGAAGCUAAUCGUCUCGCAGAUGAAUUAGCGAAUCAUGCUUUUUUGUUACUUUUGGGGUUUCAUAGUAUUCUUCUUAGGCUUGAUUUUGCUACUUCGAUUAUUUUUGAGGAUGAUAGUGUUGUUACGCGCCCACGGAAUAUUCGUGUGUAAUUUUUUUUUUUUAUUUUUUUUUAAUAAUAUGGGAGACUAAUCUCCCUCAUUCUACCAAAAAAUUAAGGGAAAUAUUUUUUCUUAAAUUUGUUGAUAUGAUAAUUAUGGUCUACAUAAUAUCGUGUUUUAAAUCAAUAUAUAAUAAAUGUUGGUUAAAACAAGAGCAAUAACAUAAUUUUGGUGAAAUUUCUUGGGAAGGUAAGAGGAAAACUUCCUUGAUAGCAUGGAAGUAUGUAAAUUAGGAAAUUUCAACAAAGCCUUACUUGUGAAACAAUUCGGCCGGAUCGUACAUUUAUCGAAGCUAGUUACUUCCUUGUAAAAAGUUUUUUAUGUAGUGAUGGUGGUUGUAGACCUUUGUAUACUUGGAAUAGUGUUCUCUAUUGAUGAGAUCUCUUGAAAAGUGGCAUAAUAAGCAAUAUUGGACAAAUCUACUAGGGUUUGGCUUGAUAAAUGGCUUAUGGAUGAACAACCAAGGAGACCCACUAAGAAAUAAAUUUUAUUUAUUAUUAAACUUAAGGUUGCUAAUUUGUUGAAUGAGAGAGGUGUUAAUUUCUCCCAAAUGAUGUUAAUCAAGUCUUAUUGAUUUAUCUUAAUUCAAACAAGAAAGAUUUUUCGUUUUGGCGAUUCAAUAAAACUGGAGCUGAAAUCAAAAUUCUUUCUAGGGAUAUAAAGAGUUUGUUGGAUUCAUCUCUUGAAAAAUUCUUUAAAAGCAAAUCAGGGAACUAGACGAAGAUUUUAGCGGAAGUAGCUCAAAAAGCAAAAGCAUCCAUGAAAAUUGCUAUGGUAGAUGAAUCACGAAAAGCUGAAAAAGCUCUGAUCGCUAGUAAAUAGUAAUAAUAGAUUGAGUCUAGUUGAUCAGAAGAAACUUGCACAAGUUAUCAAGGUGGUGGUCGAAAUGGAGGAUGAACUCGAGGAGAAGGUUCAAAAAGUCGAGAAGAUAAACAGAAAGGUAGAUGAGAAGAUGAAGAAGAAGGCAAAGAAGAGACAUUUUUCGUUUUUGGUUUGUUGAAUGUUGAUUCGUCUUCAGCUAUCAUAUCAUGUCGGUGUUAGACUUAAAAUAAGUGUUUACCAAUAACUUAUACAAGAGAGGUUCUACACCGUUUACCAAGAGAAUCAAAGAAUGCAAAGUUUGUAACUUUUGUUUGUGGUUUAAAAGAACACCACAAUCAUUGUUGAAUGCAUAACAUAUUUCAACCAGAUAAGGAGUUAAAGAACUUUUAUAUGGAUCUAAUACUUAACCACUAAUACUAAAAAUUGAUCUUGAAGCAACAUAGGAGAUUUGAGUAGUUAGAACAUAUCUAGCAAAUUCUGAUCUAUUGUGAAAAGAAUAACUAGAGACGGAUGACUUAAUUUCUAUAUAGCAUUUGGAGGGUCAUAAUGACUUGUUUUUAUUUACGUGUUUUACGUUAUUUUGUUUUUGUCAAAAGGCUUUCAUAAAUUAGUAAUACUCUAUAAAUAAAUAAACACAAUAAAAUACUCUUUCUUAUCGAUUUAGGUAUGGCCAAUGUAAAAAACUAAAAAUUAACAAAAUUUUGAAACUUCUAUACAUUUUUAUGGUUCUAGUAAUAUUAUAAAUUUAUACAUAUAUAGCUAAGAUAAUAUUCUAAAUAUGACUAUAAUAUUGUUUGUAAUUUGAAUUAUUGUUAGCGUUAUUCUCUAAUGUUACUUAUUAUUCAAAAACUCUUCGGUGUUUUCGAUUUGUAUCCAAAUUUUAUGAUAAAUUCUAAACACGAUAAUUAAUUUACAAAAAUAAAGUACUUAUUUGAGUACCCUUAAAUUUAUGUUUACUUGACUUCCCAGUUCCCAGCCAGUAUAAAUCUUUUUCUUAUAUUUAAAUUAAUUAAUUAACUUUGGAUAUAGAAUUGAAUUAUUAGGAAAAUAUAUACAUAUCAAUCAAAAAUAUAAUAUUUAUAAGCUUAAUACAAACAUAGAAAUAUCUAUAUCUAUAUAUAUCUAGCUUAAUUAAUUGGAUAGUAAAAGCUUAUCUUUGCAUUUUUAUUAUUUUAAUUAAUUACUUGUAUAUAUAUAUUAUUUUAAAUACUUAUUAGCAUAUUGACAUUUAAGAUACAAGGUUUAAAUUUCUUUUGUUAUUUUGAACAGAAGUUUUGUUAAUCAGUAAAAUAAAAUUAUUGUAAAUAAAAGAAAAGAUUUUGUGCAAAACAAACUCCAAAGUCGUUUAUUUUUGUAACUUUAUCUUUCACGUUUAAAAAUACAAAACAAAAUUAUGAAGUAAAAAUAAUACGUAAUGUAGUCGAUUUUACAACUUUACAUCUAUUGUAAACGUUUUCACGAUCACAUAUAUUUGUUUUUAAAAGUUUUAAAGAUAUAGUUGAACUCCUCAUCUCAAGGGCUUUGAUUUGAUAAAUUAUCUAUCUAAAUUUUAAAAUUAUUUAUCAAAAUUUUAAAAUUUGACAAUAGCAAAAAAUUUGACAUAUGUAUAAUUUUUGAUUUAGUAUUAUUAUUCUGCAUUGUUAAGAUGUAAAAUGUAAAGUUGUAAAAAGUAAAUGAUUCCGAGGAUUUUGUGUAAAAAACCUUAAAAUGUUUUAGAGUUUCUUGCACUAAAAGGAUAACUUUUACUUUUUUUCCAAACCCCAAAGUCUGAUUUACCUGUGAGUUAACAACAAUUACUACUCUCUUUGAGUAAAAAUCGCAUGCCAAAAAGAUUAUAGAAAAUAUAAUACCGAAGAAAAUUCCAAAUAUACAAGCAGUAAAUUAAGUUGAUUUUGGGAAUAGUCUACAAUCCCAUGUACACAUCUCCACUACAUUCCAUACACCUUUUUUAAUCUAACGGCUCACAAACAAUAAAACUCUCCGAAUAAGUAAUCACCACGUGAUUUAUCUUGACACACCAAAGUUUGUAUAGACGUGCAUGUAUGUAAUUAAUUAACCUUUUAUGUACUAUGAAUUAACUGUGUUGAUAUAUAAAGGGUGACUCAAUACCCCAAAAGCGGUCUCUCUCUAUACUUUGCUUCUCUCUCUAAACUUCUCUCUUUCUUUUUUUCUCAAAGCUUUUUUCCUUCUCCCUAAACGAUGAAGAUUUUCGUGAAGACUCUCAGUGGUUCGAACUUCGAGAUCGAAGUAAAACCUGCAGAUAAGGUAUAGUGAUUUCUUGAAUUCGAAUCGUCUUCUCUGUUUCUUUAACUGUUUAUUAGGUCUGAUUUGGUUCCGUAAUUCGAUUUUGCCUUGGGGAAAAAUUCCGGUGAAUUAGCGAAUCUCGUAGUAUCUGAUUUAAAAUUCUAGGUUUCGUUUGCAUCGUACUCUUGUUUCGGGUUGGGAAUUGUUUGUGACGAUGCGUGUUUCUGUUUCUGUGAUUGGAUUCGAAUUCGAAUUAGGGUUUUUCGUGAGUAUGUAAGUAUAGUGAUUGUAUGUGUUGGGAAUUUAAUUAUAUACUGUGUAAAUUGUAUAUAGUUAUGGCUUCUUGUUUUCCCAUCAACAUUCGUUGCUUUAGUGAUCAUGCUGGAAUCUGAUUUUGCUUCUUUAAGAUUAUGUUAGAGCUAAUCAUACUUAGAUUCACAAUAUUAGUCAUUAUAUUUGCUAAACCUUGAGGCACCUAUGGAUUAUCAUACGUAAUGAUAUAGUAUUUGUGAAGUUUUCUUUGGUGUGACUUAUUUGUUUCAUUGCUAGUCUUAUAUCUUCUUGAUAGCCUUUAGCUUAAUGAUGUCUGUAUGAUUUGGUAUCUGAGUUUAUUUUUGGCUUUUUCUAGGCUAAGUUAUAUGUGUGAUUGAGAUGCUUAUUAACAUUGUUGUUGAUCGCAGGUUUCUGAUGUUAAAACGGCUAUAGAAACUGUUAAAGGUGCAGAAUACCCUGCUGCUAAGCAGAUGCUGAUCCACCAAGGAAAGGUUCUAAAGGAUGAGACCACAUUGGAAGAGAACAAUGUUGUUGAGAACAGUUUCAUUGUUAUCAUGUUGUCCAAGGUGAUGUACUAGGUCCACAGUUUCGCAUUAGUAUUAGUAACAGGAUUUUAGUAGUUAGUGGAUGCUAACAAGUUUUAACGUUUGUAUAUAGACCAAGGCUUCUCCAAGUGGGGCAUCAACCGCAUCUGCACCAGCACCUAGUGCUACACAGGUGAAUAAAAGUUCUUAUGUAAUAUGGUUAUGGUUUCUAUUUGUAAGUGACAACAAAAUAGUAUAUCUAGAUAACAGUUUUGUCUAAUAGAAUUGCUUGGAUUUUCUGUAACAGCCACAGACAGUAGCUACACCUCAGGUUUCUGCUCCUACUGCCUCAGUGUAAGUUGCCUUCCUCUGGCAUUGAUUUACCUCCUUUUGAAAGAGAAAUUGUCAGCUUCUUAUGUAGUUGCCGGUUUGCUGAUUCUCUGUUCUUUUUACUUGCGUUCUCAGUCCAGUUCCUACAAGUGGAACUGCAACCGCUGCAGCUCCAGCUACUGCUGCUUCGUAAGAACUUUUCAGAAGUAUACUAUAUUCAUUUUCGAAUAUCUGUUCAUUGAUUGUGUAAAUGUUGCCCACUUUCUUGGUUGAAACAGGGUUCAGACAGAUGUGUAUGGUCAAGCAGCAUCAAACCUUGUUGCUGGAACUACUUUAGAGUCCACUGUUCAGCAAAUUCUUGAUAUGGGUGGAGGUAGUUGGGACCGUGACACUGUUGUUCGUGCUCUGAGAGCUGCGUUCAACAAUCCUGAAAGAGCUGUUGAAUACCUGUACUCGGUAUGAUUCAUUCCACUUCUUGAUUUUACGUUUUUCUUUGAUAUAUUGUAUCUACCUUUGAUUUGCGGUUUGCCAGAAUUUAAGCAACAUUUGCUCUUGAACUUUUGGUUGAUACAUUUCAGGGUAUCCCUGCUCAAGCUGAAAUCCCACCAGUUGCUCAAGCCCCAGCUACUGGGGAACAGGCAGCCAAUCCUCUAGCACAGCCCCAACAAGCAGCAGCUCCAGCAGCUGCAACUGGUGGUCCAAACGCAAAUCCAUUAAACCUGUUCCCCCAGGUAGGGUUUUUAAACUGGUGAACCGAUUUCAUUUGCUCGUUUUCCCUUGUGAAUUUGUUUUAUUGACAUCCACUCUUAUCUGUCUCUAUCCAGGGCAUGCCCGCUGCAGAUGCUGGUGCUGGAGCUGGUAAUCUUGAUUUCCUGCGUAACAGUCAACAGGUAUUUUCAAUUUCUUUUCCAUUCGAGAACGGAAAUCUUCAUUUCUCUCCUCUUAUGUCAUUUGCAAUUCUUUUGCCUUUUCAUAGUUCCAAGCCUUGCGAGCUAUGGUACAAGCAAACCCACAAAUUCUACAGGUAAAAUUUUUAACCUCUUAUUCUUUAUUUGGUAGGUUAUAUGAUAUUGAUUUCCCACUUAUACUGUUUCGUUUUGCAGCCUAUGCUUCAGGAGCUCGGUAAACAAAACCCCCAGCUUGUGCGACUAAUUCAAGAGCACCAGGCUGACUUCCUACGCUUGAUAAACGAACCUGUCGAGGGAGAAGAGUGGGUUUAAUAUCAUGAUUCUCCUUUACGUUUUCAUUUUAUUCUUUUUUCUCAAUAAAGCAUGUAAUCUGACAUUUCAUUCGAUGCCACCAGGAAUGUUAUGGAACAGUUGGAAGCAGCAAUGCCACAAGCUGUUACCGUUACACCUGAAGAGCGUGAAGCCAUUGAACGGGUUUGUUCCUAUGAUCUUUACAUUUGUACCUUUACUAGAUGCUCUGGUUCCUCAAAAUAUAUGGCUUGUAUUGAAAUUUGAUUUUGCUGUUGUUUGUUUUGGUUUAGCUUGAAGGGAUGGGGUUUGAUCGUGCGAUGGUCUUGGAAGUGUUCUUUGCGUGUAACAAGAAUGAAGAACUUGCAGCUAAUUACCUUCUAGAUCACAUGCAUGAGUUUGAAGAUCAAUAAACAGAGCAAAUCCAUUCCUCCCUCUAAACUCAGACCAUCUUUCUGUUUCUUUUUCUUCUUCUUUUUAAUAUGAUAAUCUCUUCUCCAAUGCCAUUUGACAGUUUCAUGUUUAUGUUCAUGGGAGUUGAUGUGUUUAUGUUACUAUUAAAACUAUCAUAGUUUAUCUGGUUUGAAGAUGCUCCUCUUUUAUCAUAUUAUUAGCCUUUGAAUCCUUCCUCUCUUUAGGUCUCAGAUGCACCAAUAUUAGCUAAGAUUAAAAGUGGAUAUUUUGGUUCUAUAUGACUCAUCUCGAGUUAGGAAUGGUAUGUCGAAUCUGGUUUAACAGAUCUGGCCUAAAACGAAACCGCUAUUCAGAUCCAAUUAUUGGCGCUUACAUUGUUUUCUCAUAGCCUCAAGCUAUGCAAUAUCAAUUAUUGCACAUUUGAAUUAACACAAACCCAUCAAUUAAUAUAUCAACAAAAACCCAUCAUCAAUUAACACAUCAACACAAACAUAAAGACAUAUAAGUUGCUCAUGAAGAACUUAUAAUGGUGGAACCAGUGAGCCUUUGAGAUCUGUCAUAAUCGUCUCUGAAAUUGUCUCAAAUCGAGAGAGAAAUGAGAAAUCUUAAAAUUUUACCCUAAAUAAUUAAACCCUAGCUUUUAAUUAUUACUGCACAAAUUAUGUCUAAAUAAUUUUGCCCAUUUACUAGCGAGCUUAUAUGGUUUGUAAUCCAUUUUAAACACUUUAAUUUUGGGCUUCACCAAAACCCAACCAUUAUUAUUUGGACGUGGACAUCCCAUGGUCAGAAAACUCAUUCGAUAACCCUACAUUUGAUGAUCAAAGUGGCACGGAAGCUCGUUCGAUCUACAAGUUUUGUGGUGAGGAGACUUCUCAGUUUUUCUUCUAGUGUGGUUGUACUUCAGGUAAAUUCUUUUCAAUACUUAGUGGAAUUUUUCGCUAACUGUUUUGUGUAAAUAAGGACGAGGCCUCCAUAGCGUUCAGUGCUUUAACAAUGCCGUAUCCACUCUGCUAAUCUUGGAUUUCAAGAGGUAUGACAGUUUGUGUUGUGAUAGGAGCCUUCAUUAAAUUAAAUAAUUUCAACAAUUUAUUUAUUUUUAGAACCAAAAGAUUUUUCAAAAAUUUUGAUUAUCAAAAAAAAAUCCAACAGAUUUUCUGUUAAAAUGAAAAUAUAUAUUAGAUUGUUUUUAAAAAAAAUCAUCUGCCGGAAUUUGAAUCUGGACAUGCUUAUUUUCAAAAAAACAUUUUAGCUAAUGUGCUAGUGCAUAUGUUUUUGCUAAGGUAUGAAUUUAAAUUGGAUAUAUAGAUCAAUUUAUUUAUUUUAAAACCAAAAAAAAUUUAAAAAGAAACUUAGCGGGAUAUAAAAUAAAUAUAUAUUAAAUUUAAAAAAAAAAGAUUUUCCGCUACGGGAAUUUGAACCUGAAAAUGCUGAUUUUUAAAGAAAAUUUAGCUAAUGUGCUACAUGAGAUGUUUUUUUUGCUAAAGUAUGAGUUUAAAUUGGAUAUAUACAUCAUUCAAUUUAUUUUUCUAAUCUAGAAUUUGCUUUCCUAGGACAAAUAUAGGUACUGAAUUAUUAAAGAACAUAUUUUUUGGUAAGAUAUAAGUGAGUUUUUAUAUAAUUUUGAUGAUUUUAGGUAAGUUGAUGUGAUUUACUGUAAAGUCUUUUCAAAUUCUAUCUAAAACUAUGAGAUUUAGAUUUCUGUAUUUUUAACUAAAGAAGUCUUUUCAAAUCCUUUCAAAUCCUUCAAAAUUAAUAAGAAUCAAAUCCACUAACUAUUUUCAGUAACAGUAAAAAGGUUGAUUUUUAAAUUUUUAAUUUAAUAACACUCAAUUUCAUUUAAAAAUUUAAAAUCCAUAAUUAAAUAACAUAAAAUUUAUAAAUUUUACAUAAAUUAUUAGAUUGAAUACACCGCUCUAAAUAUACACAAUGUAAAAAGUCUGUUUAAGAUCAAUUAUAGAUUUAACUUAAAUCUAAAGGCCCAUAAUACCGUCCUGUACAUCAUAUAGUUAUCUCAAGUUGUAAUACUGUAAUACCCGUUGGGCCCAGUGGCCCAUUUAUCAGAUUUCAAAUAACAGAUCUCAACACUAGCAUGGCUACACACGUGUCAGAUUCAAUGCAUCAGUCAUAUCUUCAGCAUCCAACACUUGUCAACCUUCCAUUGGAUCUCUUAACUCUACGCCUCGAAAACAGUUUUUAUUUAUUUAUCAUUCCAUUUCUCAUUGUAUCUUCAUCAGUCUCUUCUUAUUCCAUUUUUUCAAACCACUUGCAAAAUUCGAAUCAGAUCUUCUCUUCAAUCGAAAAAAAAGAAAGGUAAAUCUCUCUCUCUCUAAUCAUCGUUCGUUUCGUAGUUUCUUCUUCUACGUGUAGAUCUGAUCUUUGAUUGUAUGUUUCUGGAGAUCUCGAUCUCAUCGAUUCUCUGUUCUUAUCACUGAUUCAGUGUGUUUGAUAUCUAAAUCCGAUUUGUGUGUAGGAUGUUAAAAUUUAGGUUUCGGUUUUGUUUCUGCUUUUGAACGAUUUUGCUCUAGAUUCGUUAUCCGUGAAGAACAUAGACGAGUAUGUAGAUCUUACUUCGGAUUCGCGUUGAAGAAUUUUCUCUAGAUUCGUCACCUAUGAAGAAGAUUCAUUGUGUUCUUAAUCUAGAUGAUUAGGUUAUUGUUUCGACUCAUUUGUUUAUGCCUAUUUUCUCUAUGUUCUUAAUCGGUGAAGAAAUGUAUCAAUGUGUGUAUGUUUUGGGUUCUGAUUUUGUAGGAUUUGCUCUAGAUUGUUGAAUCGAAGAUGUCGACAAGGGAAGAGAAUGUUUACAUGGCGAAAUUAGCCGAACAAGCUGAACGUUACGAAGAAAUGGUUGAAUUCAUGGAGAAAGUUGCGAAAACUGUUGAUGUUGAGGAACUUUCAGUUGAAGAGAGGAAUCUUCUCUCUGUUGCUUACAAGAACGUGAUUGGAGCGAGAAGAGCUUCGUGGAGAAUCAUUUCUUCGAUUGAGCAGAAAGAAGAGAGCAAAGGGAACGAAGAUCAUGUUGCUAUUAUCAAGGAUUACAGAGGAAAGAUUGAAUCCGAGCUUAGCAAAAUCUGUGAUGGGAUUUUGAAUGUUCUUGAAGCUCAUCUUAUUCCUUCUGCUUCACCAGCUGAAUCUAAAGUGUUUUAUCUUAAGAUGAAGGGUGAUUAUCAUAGGUAUCUUGCUGAGUUUAAGGCUGGUGCUGAAAGGAAAGAAGCUGCUGAAAGCACUUUGGUUGCUUACAAGUCUGCUUCCGUAAGUCAUUCUUUACAACGUUUUUGAAUGUUGUUUUCUUUUGUGGGUAUGAUUGAUUUUGUUGUUGUGAUAAUGCAGGACAUUGCCACUGCUGAGUUAGCUCCUACUCACCCGAUAAGGCUUGGUCUUGCACUCAACUUCUCUGUGUUUUACUAUGAAAUCCUCAACUCGCCUGAUCGUGCUUGCAGCCUCGCAAAGCAGGUUUGUGUAGUACACCUGAUUUUCACUUUUUGCUUCGUGUGUUAUUAUUAUCUCAGUGAAUGAAACAGCUAUUUUGGGUUUGUGCAGGCGUUUGAUGAUGCAAUCGCUGAGUUAGAUACAUUGGGUGAGGAAUCAUACAAGGACAGUACACUGAUUAUGCAGCUUCUUAGAGACAAUCUCACUCUCUGGACUUCAGAUAUGACUGUAAGUAUUAACAACACAAUAUACGUUGAUCACUAAGUUAUGUUGUUGACAUGAUGGUUUCUUUUUUGGUGAAUAGGACGAAGCAGGAGAUGAGAUUAAGGAGGCAUCAAAGCCCGAUGGUGCCGAGUAAACCCGAAGAAGAGGAAGAGUCAUUUUAUAAUGGUAGAAAACUUUCAUGUGAUAAUCUGAGUGAGGGAUAGCUCAGGAUUCUUAUAAGAGACACAGUUUUAUUGUUGUUUGUUUGUUUUGAAACUACUUGCGAUUUAUCAUUCCUCCUUUAGCUUCCUCAAUAUUUCCUAUUCUCCUUUCUAAUGAAAUCAAAACUUGGUUAUUUCUGAUAUGGUAGUUGUCUUUAUUUUCUAUUUUUUUGGUUAUUGAUUUGAUCAACUAAAAAAGUGUGAUAACUUUCUCAAAUUGAUUAAUUAAUGUACGAAAACACUUGCUGCAAAUGGAUCACUUCCAUGACAUUAUACUUUGAUAUAAUAUAUUACAAGAAAUAAAAGGUAACUAAAGUAGAGAAAACAAGAAACCAUAUUUAUAACAAAAUAUUUCAUUUCAAACAAUGGUAAAAGAUCUCAGAUAACAUAGGAGACAGACAAGUUACUACUAAUAAAGGAGAGAACCACACCAAAAUCCUAAUCUUGUUAAUUAACACUUCCAAUAAGUUACUGAAACUCAAAAUCACUGAAUAAGCUAGUGAACAAGUGAAGAGCUACUCUGUGUCAAGUGCAAAGCAGAGGACUCCACGGCACCUGAAAGUCCAAAGGCUGAUCUUGUCGCCGACUUUUAAGCUGCUACUUUUGACGACAUCAUUCCAACCCCAAUUCAAAGUGUAAUUCAAUGUUCCAUGUCCAGAGUCCUUCUCCAUCGCCCAUAUCUUGAAACGCAAACCCCACUUUUGAAAUCUUUGGUUCACAAGAACCGUUCCCACACCAAUAUUCUCGUCGUCUUCUUCAUCAUUGUCUUCGUCUUUCUGCAUAGCUCUACACUCCGCAGGAGUCAGGAAAUCGUUUCUGAUUAGCUUCUGGAAAGGCAUUAAGAGACGACUAAGGUUUGAGUUGACAUCACUCUUAAACAGAGUCCUCUCAAAUAUCAGCCUCGGGGUUUCAGCAUCAGCGUUCAUGUAUCUCAUCACUUGGAAAAUCCACUCAGGCAUCUCUGUACACAACCUUGGCAAAGGAGAAACCUUAACUUUCUUGACUUUACCACUCUUCCUCUGCUCCACGGCACGCCUCUUGCGGUUUGUCUUCCCUGUUAGGCAUGAAGACGGAGACGAAGAUUGGUAAUUAGGGUUUGGUACGUCUUUUGUCUCUGUCGAAGGUUCAAGACAAGGAAGGUUCAGGAGCGAUGAAGAAGAAGUAGAAGCUCCAUUAAGAUUAUCAAAGAGUUUCUUUUCACUCUCGUCAUCAUAAUCUUCAUCGUAGACAAUCUUGGAUUUACCUUUCUUUAAACGUUGUUCUUCAUCACACACCAUAGGUUCAUCAAAACAAGGGUUUUGUAGGUUGUCUGUCUCAAAAUCAGUAGGGAUUAGGUUAAGAUCGGGAAGCGAUGACGAACAAGUAGAAGCCCCAUUAGGGUUUUGUUGUGUGUAUCUUCUCUUCGCCAAAGACGAUUUGAUUUUCCUCGGGAAAAGAUAGAAGAAACUCAUCUUGCACUUGGAUUCUUCUCGUUUCUCUGCAAGAAGACGACUACGUUGUUCUUCUUCCUCCGCAACCAUAACCGUCACAUACGCCAGUAAACUUAAACCCGACGACAUAUUCUUCCCCGAAUCCGUGAGAUGAUUAUCGUGAUACAUAAUACUACUCAUCGUGAUUGAAUCGAAAGACUGGAAAGUUUCUGAGAGCGACGACGUGAGGAACAAGAAACUUGUAUAUAGAGAGACGAGAAACUGAUCGACGAUUAGAAAAGAAGUACCUUCUCUUGCCUUAUAUAUACUUUACAAUAGGGUUUCAGGUUUCUUUGUUUUCCUAUUUCUCCAUUGAGUUUAGUUGUUUAAUUACUGUCAUUAGUAACUAAUUAUAGCCGUUGUGAUCAAGUGUUUCCUUUUUCACAAGUGUGAGAGAUAGUGAAUUUUUAGGAAGUUUCCUUUCCUUUCAAAUUUCAAUAGCUUUGCUUCACUUUUUUGUAUUUGAUGUAUUAUUAUAUUUUUUGGGCACUUGCCGACUUUGAUAUAAAUUAAAUAAAAUGCAGAAAACAGUGGAGUCUCAAAAAAAUUCAGAUCUUUAGAAAAACAAAACCAAUAUUGUUGUCGAUUGAAUCGAAAAUAGUUUCGAGUAUCCAUUUAUCAUCAAAAAAAAAAAAAAAACAAUUCCUUGAAUAAUUUUUAUGUUUUUUGAAUUUUAUUGGAUGUACGUACAUAAUCAUUUCAACAAAAUUGCAUAAAAAUAGUUGAUGCAAAACCAAAUAUGGGGAGAAAAUUCAAAUAGUUUUCUCAAUUUGAGGUAACUACGAAAUUGCCCCACAUCCUUUAGUAAUUACGAAUUGGACCUAAAACUAUAGAUAAUUACGAUUUUUUCCCUCGAAUAAUAACGAAAUUGCCUCAGUUAUUUCGUUAUUUGUUAAUGCACCCCACAUCUCUCGGUAAUUACAAAAUUUCUGCAAAUCUUCCAAAAUGAAAUUUCUGGUAAUUUCUUAUUUGGUAAACUACGAAUGAACAACAAAGAACAAUGAAUUGGUAAAAUACACAUUUUGGAAUACUCAAUCUCUCAUAUUAUUGCUUAUCCACAAUCAAAUCACACAAUUGUAACAAUGAACAACAAAGAACAAUGAAUCAACAAGAACAAAUGAAAUUAGAAUCUUCGCUCACAUCCCUCAGAUUAUAAUCGCACCCUUCACAGUCUCAUAGCGAAUGAAUCAACAUGCCUUGCUCUGUAACCGCUCCUCAUAUUUAUAGAUGCCUCUGAUACUUGCUUAUUUCACAAGCUUCCCUCUGUUUCCUCACGUGCCUUGCACACACACUCUUAUCAUGCAUUCGCAGUCAUUAAACAGUGUCAUAGUUAUUCUUUAUGGUUACAAGUGUGGGGUUGGUGACUGAUGAAGACAACUGAUCUUAUUCAUCUACUUCUUGGAGCUGGAGUUGGAGAAAUUCGAGAAGAAUGAACAAAUUACGACAAGGUACAUUGAGAAAAUCUCCGGUGAAGCAUAAAAGCACAACUUAUACGUAAUAUUUCUAUAUUUGCUUUUGGAGACAGAACAUGUGUCAGUAAUCGUUGGUUUAGACUUCUAGGUCUGGUUUGGGGUUUGGUACAGAUGGUUUUAUGGCUGCAAAUGUCUUAUGUUGUUGAACGCCCACAAGAUGCUCGAUGAAAUGCCGAAGAGAGUGGCUUGUUUGUAAAAUUGCAGUUUUUUGGUGGUAUAUGGAUGAGAAGCAGAUGAUAGUGAGUAGAGUUUUGUUACUUGGGGGUAGAAAAUUCUCUUCGCCAUGAGAUAGACUAUUAGAGUUAAGCGGGUAAAAACCCGGACUCGUUUUGUGAGACAAAAGAACCUGAAAAAGUUCUCACUUUGACUAUUCUUGCUUCUAUCAAGCCAUUGCAAUUGUUCUUGGAAAAGUGAAACACACACUCUCGUUGUCUCAUCUUGCUGUGAAUUAUCAUUCUUAUCUGCUGAGUUCAAGACUGGAUUAAGCAUGAUUCUUGAAGAUAGGAGUGUGACUGAGAUAAUAUGCAUUCACUGGAAACCAUGGUCUACUUUUCAAAGGUAAUGUCUCUGUUCUUUCAAUUUGAGACAGAACAAAAGGAAAGAAGUAGAUAUUAAGUUAAGUGUGGUAGCUUGAGAAAUGGGAACAAAUGGUUAGAUUUGUAGGACUGGAAAUCUUUAUGCUAGAAAGAAAUAGGGGUAGUAUUGGACAUAACUCUCAAAAGGAAAGGAGAAGGGACAUUGUGUUUGAUUCAAAGCUAAGACAAGGCUGCAUUUGUGUCACUCAAAGGAGAAUAGGAAUUACCUCUGACAGAGUUUGAAAGAAAAACUCUACAAGUAUCAGAAUGUUUAAGAUCGUUCCUGGAGUACAUUCAGUCAUUCAGAUGAAAAGACGGAGAAACGGAGCUGUGGCGGGAAUGUAACUAGUAAAGUACUUUCUUGAGGAUUCGGCAGUGCUCAAGAAGUUUAUGCUGCGUUUGGGUUGUGAGAGAAUGAACAAAGAGUCUAUCAUUUUAAUGGAACUAUUGAGGUUAAGGAGAUAUACUAUGCUUAUUGUAUAGUCAUUGUUGAACUUGCUGAGACUGAUAAUGAUACAUAGGUGUUUCUACACUUAAAUGUGCAAUUUCCAUUUAGGAAAGUUUAGUAUUGGGAUUUGAUGUAUAUAUUCUUACCAGAACCAGUUCUCCAACUUAGGAAAUUUAUUUGUAAUAAUCUGAGUGACGCUCAGUAUUCUUCCAAGGACAAUUUGACAACUACUUGCUAUGGAUUCCUCCUUUAGGUUCCUCAAAAGUUCAUGUUCUCCAUGUAAUGAAAUCAAAACUUGCUUUUUCUCUGACAUUUUUGAUUGUUUUGGUUCUAAAUUUGAUCAAACUGACUGCAUCGAGCAUUUCGGAGGAAUAGUACACAAAACAUUAGCAGGAAUAGAUCAUUUCCAUCAUUACAACAGGUUUAGAGGAGAGAUCUGAGACAACACAAAGGUAUAUUGAACAAUGCAGUAAGUAAAGUAGACAAAACAAGAAACCAUAUUUAUGACCAAAUGUGUUCAUUUCAAACAAUGGUAAAGGUCUGAAACAACAGAGGAGACGGACAAGUUAAUACUACUACUACUAAUCCUAACAAUAGAGGAGAGAACCAGUUACUAUACUAAAAAGCCAAAAACCUCAAGAAUCACUUGAAAUUUGUUAAAUGAGACCUCAAGAGACAAAUGAAACAUAUCAGAGAGCUACCUACCAUGUGUCAAGAGCAAAGCAGAGGACUCCACGGCACCUGAAAGUCCAAAGACCGAUAUUGUCGCCGGCUUUUAAGCUGUUACCUUUGACGACAUCAUUCCAGUCCCAAUUCAAAAUGUAAUUCAAGGUUCCAUGUCCAGAGUCCUUCUCCAUCCCCCAUAUCUUGAAACGCAAACCCCACAUUUUAAAUCUUUGGUUCACAAGAAUCGUUCCCGCACCAAUAUCUUCGUCGUCUUUGUCUUCGUCUUCCUGCUUGGCUUGACACACAAGAAUCGUUCCCACACUAAUAUCUUCGUCGUCUUUGUCUUUGUCUUCCUGCAUGGCUCGACACUCCUCUGGCGUCAAGAAGUCGUUUCUGAUUAGCUUCUGGAAUGGGAUUAAGAGACGGCUGAGGUUAGAGUUGACAUCACUCUUGAACAGAGUCCUUUCAAAGAUCAGCUUCGGGGUUUCAGCAUCAGCGUUCAUGUGUCCCAUCGCUUGGAAAACCCACUCAGGCGUCUCUGUAGACAACCUUGGCAAAGGAGAAACCUUUACUUUCUUGACUUUACCACUCUUCCUCUGUUCCACGGCACGCCUCUUGCGACUUGUGUCGUUCUCCGUUAGGCAUGAAGACGGAGAAGAAGAUUGGUAAUUAGGGUUUGGUAGAACUUUCGUCUCUGUCUUCUCUGACUCAACCGUGUUGUAAUCCAAGAAUAACGAAGCCUCAUAACAACGAAG
Molecule: long non-coding RNA, 39363 nt
Filed under: Arabidopsis thaliana (thale cress)
Lineage: Eukaryota; Viridiplantae; Streptophyta; Magnoliopsida; Brassicales; Brassicaceae
Description: long non-coding RNA (ATHA_LNC000441)
Source: RNAcentral